UCCGGCGUCUUUCCGUGGAAAU
RNAcentral lists this small nuclear RNA (22 nucleotides) under Arabidopsis thaliana (thale cress). RNAcentral describes it as "snRNA_04795". Lineage: Eukaryota; Viridiplantae; Streptophyta; Magnoliopsida; Brassicales; Brassicaceae. The record is from RNAcentral.